Molecule: ribosomal RNA, 780 nt
Filed under: uncultured Ascomycota
Lineage: Eukaryota; Fungi; Ascomycota
Description: LSU rRNA
Rfam family: Eukaryotic large subunit ribosomal RNA
Source: RNAcentral
GUGAAAUUGUUGAAAGGGAAGCGCUUGCAACCAGACCUGCCUGCAGUUGCUCAUCCGUGGCUUUUGCCCGGUGCACUCUUCUGCUGUCAGGCCAGCAUCAGUUCGGGCGGUCGGAUAAAGGCUUCGGGAAUGUAGCUCCUCUCGGGGAGUGUUAUAGCCCGUUGCGAAAUGCGGCCAGCCUGGACUGAGGUCCGCGCUUCGGCUAGGAUGCUGGCGUAAUGGUUGUAAGCGGCCCGUCUUGAAACACGGACCAAGGAGUCUAACAUCUGUGCGAGUGUUUGGGUGUUAAACCCGUACGCGUAAUGAAAGUGAACGGAGGCGGGAACCCCUCGGGGUGCACCGUCGACCGAUCCUGAUGUCUUCGGAUGGAUUUGAGUAAGAGCAUAGCUGUUGGGACCCGAAAGAUGGCGAACUAUGCCUGAAUAGGGUGAAGCCAGAGGAAACUCUGGUGGAGGCUCGCAGCGGUUCUGACGUGCAAAUCGAUCGUCAAAUUUGGGCAUAGGGGCGAAAGACUAAUCGAACUAUCUAGUAGCUGGUUCCUGCCGAAGUUUCCCUCAGGAUAGCAGUAACGUUUUCAGUUUUAUGAGGUAAAGCGAAUGAUUAGAGGCCUGGGGGUUGAAACAACCUUCACCUAUUCUCAAACUUUAAAUAUGUAAGAAGUCCUUGUUGCUCAGUUGAACGUGGACAUUUGAAUGUAUCGUUACUAGUGGGCCAUUUUUGGUAAGCAGAACUGGCGAUGCGGGAUGAACCGAACGCGGAGUUAAGGUGGCCGAAUGCACG